Molecule: non-coding RNA, 1061 nt
Organism: Kogia breviceps (pygmy sperm whale)
Lineage: Eukaryota; Metazoa; Chordata; Mammalia; Artiodactyla; Physeteridae
Source: RefSeq, a predicted model, not a curated record
GUUCCUGUCUCCACACCUGAUACUGGUCGGCAAGACAGGAUCUUAAGGACAACACUGCUGUUACCCAUAUCCUAUUCCCUCAGGACCAGCAGAGUUCAGGAUUAUUGUGAGGCGGCCAGGAAGAGGCAGGUUAGAUGGACUGACAGCACCUUGACCUCAGACGGCUCCACCGCCGGCCGGCUGUGUGAUGUUGGCUGAUGGGUUGCCAGGCGUUAGAAACUUCUCCAAUCCUCACCACAUCUUGGUUCUACCGAAGUGGAAACUGAGGUUAAGAUUGCCUUCCGCUGGUCAACAGCACAGGUGGGAUUCGAACCUAUAUCCGGUUCCGAGUCGCUCGUGAGUUUACGCCACGCAGCUUCACUUGGACUGGCGAUUCGAGCCCUCGCAGGGCCGGCCACCACCUGAGCGGAGAGGGGUUGGGCUGAAUCGCCAAACGUUCCCUUUUUUUCCGUGCCGGGAAAGCUUUGAAAUUCUUAUUUUCAGGUAAACGAUUUUGGCGGCUCCCAGAGAAGGACGGAAACCAGACCCAGUGUCGGACUUCCGGCUUAUUACGGGAGAGCCCCUGGGGCGGGACGGGGAGGGCAACUAUUUCCCCCGAGCCCGGGGAGGCGGCGGCGGCAGAGCCGAGGCAGAAGCCCUUGCUCCUCGAUUUUUCCUCUUUGGAGUUUAUUCAUCUGCUCAGUCUGUCCUGUGGGGCCCACGUCUUCGGAAGUCCUGGUCGGAGGGGGAGGAGCGCGGGGGAGAAGACACACGGCCCUGCGCAGGGAAGAGGUAUGGCCAGAUGAUCCCCCAACUCUUUCACCCUCUCCAGGGGCGCCUCUCUGAGGUAGGGUCCUCCUAGCGGCUUGUGGGGAGCAGAGUGAGGGCAGGCUGGAAGCUGGGGCCUGGGGACCCCUGGCUGGGCAGGGAAGGGCUGGCAUCCGGCUCCCUGGCGACCCCGUCCCGAGCUCCCGCCUCAAGGUCACCCCGUGGAAGCCCCGACAGGCCACGAGUCCCUCGACACAGGUCCCAUUACAUAGUAUUUAUGUUUCAUUUUUCCCUCUCUCUUAUUAUUGACUCAC